Molecule: ribosomal RNA, 168 nt
Filed under: Cicer arietinum (chickpea)
Lineage: Eukaryota; Viridiplantae; Streptophyta; Magnoliopsida; Fabales; Fabaceae
Also listed under: 1 other name
Description: 5.8S ribosomal RNA
Rfam family: 5.8S ribosomal RNA
About the family: 5.8S ribosomal RNA (5.8S rRNA) is a component of the large subunit of the eukaryotic ribosome.
Source: RNAcentral
AUAUAGAAUGACUCUCGGCAACGGAUAUCUAGGCUCUUGCAUCGAUGAAGAACGUAGCGAAAUGCGAUACUUGGUGUGAAUUGCAGAAUCCCGUGAACCAUCGAGUCUUUGAACGCAAGUUGCGCCCGAUGCCAUUAGGUUGAGGGCACGUCUGCCUGGGUGUCACAU